UUGAAAGGGAAACGAUUGAAGUCAGUCGUACCUGUGGGUAAUCAGCCUUUUGGGUGUGAUUUUGUGGAGUGUGAGGAGUUAAACGCCUUCAUGCCUGCAUAUUCGUGCACUUUGGGUGUAUUUACCCGUGUGGUAAGUUAACAUCAAUUUCGGUGGUCAUAAAAUGGCUGGAGGAAUGUAGCUUCGAUCUUGUAUUGAAGUGUUAUAGCCUUUGGUAAAUGUGAUGAUUAGGAUCGAGGAUUGCAACGAAUACCCUUUUGGGCUAUCCGCCUGAUCUCUGAUACGUGGCCUUGGUAUCGAAAGCUUGCUUAUGGUAUUAAGGUAUUACGGUCAAAAGGUUAGAACGGAUUACAUUCGUUAAGGAUGUUGACGUA
RNAcentral lists this ribosomal RNA (374 nucleotides) under uncultured Glomeromycotina. RNAcentral describes it as "LSU rRNA". The record is from RNAcentral. Lineage: Eukaryota; Fungi; Glomeromycota.